GAUGAACGCUGGCGGCGUGCCUAAUACAUGCCAGUCGAGCGAACAGACGAGGAGCUUGCUCCUCUGACGUUAGCGGCGGACGGGUGAGUAACACGUGGAUAACCUACCUAUAAGACUGGGAUAACUUCGGGAAACCGGAGCUAAUACCGGAUAAUAUAUUGAACCGCAUGGUUCAAUAGUGAAAGACGGUUUUGCUGUCACUUAUAGAUGGAUCCGCGCCGCAUUAGCUAGUUGGUAAGGUAACGGCUUACCAAGGCGACGAUGCGUAGCCGACCUGAGAGGGUGAUCGGCCACACUGGAACUGAGACACGGUCCAGACUCCUACGGGAGGCAGCAGUAGGGAAUCUUCCGCAAUGGGCGAAAGCCUGACGGAGCAACGCCGCGUGAGUGAUGAAGGUCUUCGGAUCGUAAAACUCUGUAAUUAGGGAAGAACAAAUGUGUAAGUAACUAUGCACGUCUUGACGGUACCUAAUCAGAAAGCCACGGCUAACUACGUG
RNAcentral lists this ribosomal RNA (497 nucleotides) under uncultured bacterium. RNAcentral's name for it is "partial 16S ribosomal RNA". It matches the Rfam family "Bacterial small subunit ribosomal RNA", at positions 28 to 507 of the family's 1533-position model. The record is from RNAcentral.